This 540-nucleotide ribosomal RNA is filed under the name uncultured Glomeraceae. RNAcentral describes it as "SSU rRNA". It matches the Rfam family "Eukaryotic small subunit ribosomal RNA", at positions 548 to 1091 of the family's 1831-position model. Lineage: Eukaryota; Fungi; Glomeromycota; Glomeromycetes; Glomerales; Glomeraceae. The record is from RNAcentral.
UUGGAGGGCAAGUCUGGUGCCAGCAGCCGCGGUAAUUCCAGCUCCAAUAGCGUAUAUUAAAGUUGUUGCAGUUAAAAAGCUCGUAGUUGAAUUUCGGGAUCAAUAUGUUGGUCGUGCCUUGGUACGUACUAAUUUAUUGGUUUCUUCCUUCUGACGAACCUUGAUGUCAUUAAUUUGGUGUCUUGGGGAAUCAGGACUGUUACUUUGAAAAAAUUAGAGUGUUUAAAGCAGGCUCACGCUUGAAUACAUUAGCAUGGAAUAAUGAAAUAGGACGUUUGAUUCUAUUUUGUUGGUUUCUAGGAUUGACGUAAUGAUUAAUAGGGAUAGUUGGGGGCAUUAGUAUUCAAUUGUCAGAGGUGAAAUUCUUGGAUUUAUUGAAGACUAACUACUGCGAAAGCAUUUGCCAAGGAUGUUUUCAUUAAUCAAGAACGAAAGUUAGGGGAUCGAAGACGAUCAGAUACCGUCGUAGUCUUAACCAUAAACUAUGCCGACUAGGGAUCGGAUGAUGUUAAUUUUUUAAUGACUCAUUCGACGCCUUAC